Molecule: ribosomal RNA, 490 nt
Filed under: uncultured bacterium
Lineage: Bacteria
Description: partial 16S ribosomal RNA
Rfam family: Bacterial small subunit ribosomal RNA
Source: RNAcentral
AUUGAACGCUGGCGGCAGGCCUAACACAUGCCAGUCGAACGGUAACAGAAAGAAGCUUGCUUCUUUGCUGACGAGUGGCGGACGGGUGAGUAAUGUCUGGGAAACUGCCUGAUGGAGGGGGAUAACUACUGGAAACGGUAGCUAAUACCGCAUAACGUCGCAAGACCAAAGAGGGGGACCUUCGGGCCUCUUGCCAUCGGAUGUGCCCAGAUGGGAUUAGCUAGUAGGUGGGGUAACGGCUCACCUAGGCGACGAUCCCUAGCUGGUCUGAGAGGAUGACCAGCCACACUGGAACUGAGACACGGUCCAGACUCCUACGGGAGGCAGCAGUGGGGAAUAUUGCACAAUGGGCGCAAGCCUGAUGCAGCCAUGCCGCGUGUAUGAAGAAGGCCUUCGGGUUGUAAAGUACUUUCAGCGGGGAGGAAGGGAGUAAAGUUAAUACCUUUGCUCAUUGACGUUACCCGCAGAAGAAGCACCGGCUAACUCCGUG